AAUGAACGCUGGCGGCAUGCCUUACACAUGCAAGUCGAACGGCAGCAUGACCUAGCUUGCUAGGUUGAUGGCGAGUGGCGAACGGGUGAGUAAUGCAUCGGAACGUGCCUUUUAGUGGGGGAUAACGUAGCGAAAGUUACGCUAAUACCGCAUAUUCUCUGAGGAGGAAAGCAGGGGACCUUCUGGCCUUGCGCUCGAAGAGCGGCCGCUGUCGGAUUAGCUAGUUGGUGAGGUAAAGGAUCACCAAGGCAACGAUCCGUAGCGGGUCUGAGAGGAUGAUGAGCCACGCGGGAAGGGAGACAGGGUGAAGACGCCGGCGGGAGGCAGCAGUGGGGAAGGGUGGACAAUGGGCGCAAGCCUGAUCCAGCCAUCCCGCGUGGGUGAAGAAGGCCUUCGGGUUGUAAAGCGCUUUUGGUGGGAAAGAAAAGGAGCAGGUUAAUACACAGCUGUGCUGACGGUACCCGAAGAAUAAGCACCGGCUAACUUAGUG
Molecule: ribosomal RNA, 490 nt
Filed under: uncultured bacterium
Lineage: Bacteria
Description: partial 16S ribosomal RNA
Rfam family: Bacterial small subunit ribosomal RNA
Source: RNAcentral